RNAcentral lists this long non-coding RNA (662 nucleotides) under Coturnix japonica (Japanese quail). Its description in RNAcentral is "lncRNA (ENSCJPG00005007372.1)". Lineage: Eukaryota; Metazoa; Chordata; Aves; Galliformes; Phasianidae. The record is from RNAcentral.
AGUUUGAAAAGUAGCCUGGAAUAAGGAAAAAAUAUGUUCGGAAUACGUGGUUGUAUUACUGAUUUCACUUAUAUCUUUAUUGCUACAGUAAUGAGGCAUUAGCUCUUUUACUAAAGUGGAUCAUUAUUUACCUUUUAAUUUUUGAGUCUGUGCCUGAGGAGUUUCAAGAAAUUCCCCAUACCCUGGAAUUUUUGAACAUUGAAUGCAUUUGGAUCAGAUCACACACUGUGAUUUUUAGCUGUCUUUCAGGAGUUUUGUGCAAGUAGAUGGAGGCAAUGGGAGGCCUAUAUGAAGUUCUAACCGGCUAAAGUUGAUGAUGCUGAAUGUCACAGGUAAAACAUUCUGCAUUGGCUGAGUUAAGAGAUUACACUGAACCAAGCAAGUUUAGGGAUAUGGCAGUUGUCUUCACUUUUGUUUCCUGUCAUUGUUGUUGAGGGUUACCUUGCGAUUUAACCAACAUCCUGAUUACAAGACCAUUCCCUACAAGAAGUAUGGAGAUUUGUUUGCUGCACCGCUUGAAGACUGGCUGAUGCAUUCUGGGAGAUCAUGAGCCAUAGGAUGUGAUGGAGAGCAAGACAUGAAGGAAUUCACUUCUUACCUAGUGUUUGUUGCAGUCAACUCACCAGAAUAAAAGUAGGCUUCCAGAGCUGUUUGUCUGAAAU